GCUGGGCGUGGUGGCGUAUGCCUGUAAUCCCAGCCACUGGGGAGGCUGAGGUGGGAGAAUCGCUUGAACCAGGGAGUCGGAGGUUGCAGUGAGCCAAGAUCAUGCCACUGCACUCCGGCCUGGCGACAGAGCGAGAUUCCAUCUCAA
RNAcentral lists this small RNA (147 nucleotides) under Papio anubis (olive baboon). RNAcentral describes it as "Metazoan signal recognition particle RNA (ENSPANG00000048047.1)". The record is from Rfam by way of RNAcentral. Lineage: Eukaryota; Metazoa; Chordata; Mammalia; Primates; Cercopithecidae.